UCGAGAAUCUUCGGCAAUGGGCGCAAGCCUGACCGAGCGACGCCGCGUGGAGGAUGAAGGCCUUCGGGUUGUAAACUCCUGUCGAGGGGGAGGAAGGGGCAACCUUGACCGAUCCCUGGAGGAAGCACGGGCUAAGUUCGUGCCAGCAGCCGCGGUAAGACGAACCGUGCGAACGUUAUUCGGAAUCAUUGGGCUUAAAGCGCGUGUAGGCGGAUGGGAACGUCGGAGUUGAAAGCCCCCGGCUCAACCGGGGAAUUGGCCCCGAAACGACCCGUCUCGAGGGGCAUAGGGGGAGCUGGAACUUCCGGUGGAGCGGUGAAAUGCGUUGAGAUCGGAAGGAACGCCCGUGGCGAAAGCGAGCUCCUGGAUGUCUUCUGACGCUGAGACGCGAAAGCUAGGGGAGCGAACGG
This 410-nucleotide ribosomal RNA is filed under the name uncultured bacterium. RNAcentral's name for it is "bacterial SSU rRNA". It matches the Rfam family "Bacterial small subunit ribosomal RNA", at positions 355 to 775 of the family's 1533-position model. The record is from RNAcentral.